RNAcentral lists this long non-coding RNA (1334 nucleotides) under Homo sapiens (human). RNAcentral describes it as "mir-99a-let-7c cluster host gene". The record is from RNAcentral. Lineage: Eukaryota; Metazoa; Chordata; Mammalia; Primates; Hominidae.
GAGCUCUUUCUGAGAUGAAGAGAAUUCUCAAUGUCAAGAUUUGAACAAGAAGAGAAUGGAAUACACAAUAUGGACAUCCAUAAAAAUUCAUCAGAGAGCAUUUUACUACUGAGCUGCAAAGGGAAAAACUUAAAAUGGAUAUGAAAAGUGAAGAAAGUGAUCAUAGGAGAAAACCAUUUCAGGUGUCUGAUGAUUUGUGAGCCUCAAGUGACUACUCUGUGGAAUCAUCUGUCCUUGCCUUUGAAUUAGCUUUCCCUAGGCCAUGAGUCAACAUUAGUAGUUUAUACAUCCAAAUUGAUGACAAGAGCACCUCAAAGGCAGCAGCCUCAAGGAGCAGCCAUGGCCCCAGACUUGUCGCACGGAUGCAGAAAACUUAAUGGAGGAGGCUGAGCAAAACAGAGCGUGACACUCCCAAUCAUCUGCAUGCUGGAAAUGAGGAAAUGGUUAUUGAAUGAUACAAGUGCUUUUCGAUCAUUUAGAAAGUUCUGUUUCCCAAGAUCUUUUUUUUUUUUUUUUUUUUUGAGACGGUGUCUUGCUCUGUCACCCAGGCUGGAGUGCAGUGGCGCGAUCUCGGCUCACCACAACCUCCACCUCCUGGGUUCAAGCGAUUCUCCUGCCUCAGCCUCCCGCGUGGCUGAGACUACAGGCAUGUGCCACCAUGCCCGGCUAAUUUUUGUAUUUUUAGUAGAGACAGGGCGGGCGGAUCACCCAAGAAUGGGAUAACUGCCUGGCACUCACCAAGCUACACUUGAAGAGGAUCAAUCCAUGUCAUCAUGUCCCCAAUUUCAUAGCACCAAGUAUUUUGUUUAUUCACAAAUGCCCUAUUAUGGACAUCUAGCAAACAAUGAUACAUCAGAAAAGGAGAUGUGCAUAAAUUUUCAUGGAAUAAGGUAUAAAGCCCAACUCUCAAUACAUACUAAUCAUAACAGGAGUCUAAGAAAUAUUCUGAAAUAAAUGGGAAUGCAGAAUGUGUCAGGCCUCUGAGCCCAAGCUAAGCCAUCAUAUCCCCUGUGACCAGCACGUACACAUCCAGAUGGCCGGUUCCUGCCUUAACUGAUGACAUUCCACCACAAAAGAAAUUAAAAUGGCCUGUUCUUGCCUUAACUGAUGACAUUAUCUUGUGAAAUUCCUUCUCCUGGCUCAUCCUGGCUCAAAAGCUCCCCAACUGAGCAUCUUGUGACCCCCACUCUUGCCUGCCAGAGAACAACCCCACUUUUUCCUUUACCUACCCAAAUCCUAUAAAACAGCCCCACCCCUAUCUCCCUUCGCUGACUCUCUUUUUGGACUCAGCCCGCCUGCACCCAGGUGAUUAAAAUCUUUAUUGCUCACACAAA